Molecule: ribosomal RNA, 490 nt
Filed under: uncultured bacterium
Lineage: Bacteria
Description: partial 16S ribosomal RNA
Rfam family: Bacterial small subunit ribosomal RNA
Source: RNAcentral
AUUGAACGCUGGCGGCAGGCCUAACACAUGCAAGUCGAAUGGUAACAGGAAACAGCUUGCUGUUUCUCUGACGAGUGGCGGACGGGUGAGUAAUGUCUGGGUAACUGCCUGAUGGAGGGGGAUAACUACUGGAAACGGUAGCUAAUACCGCAUAACUUCGCAAGACCAGAGAGGGGGACCUUCGGGCCUCUUUCCAUCAGAUGUGCCCAGAUGGGAUUAGCUAGUAGGUGGGGUAACGGCUCACCUAGGCGACGAUCCCUAGCUGGUCUGAGAGGAUGACCAGCCACACUGGAACUGAGACACGGUCCAGACUCCUACGGGAGGCAGCAGUGGGGAAUAUUGCAGAAUGGGCGCAAGCCUGAUGCAGCCAUGCCGCGUGUAGGAAGAAGGCCUUCGGGUUGUAAAGUACUUUCAGCGGGGAGGAAGGGAGUAAAGUUAGUACCUUUGCUGAUUGACGUUACCCGCAGAAGAAGCACCGGCUAACUACGUG